Molecule: long non-coding RNA, 621 nt
Filed under: Bos taurus (domestic cattle)
Lineage: Eukaryota; Metazoa; Chordata; Mammalia; Artiodactyla; Bovidae
Description: long non-coding RNA NONBTAT019438
Source: RNAcentral
CAGUAGUAAUUUAGUAUAUUUGGAAAACCCAAAAGUAUGUAUCUUAGCCAUAAUGCAAUUUGAACCAUUGUAGGCUAACUUAUAUUUAAGGUCAUAAAAUUGAAAAAUUACACAUAUAUUUUGAUAACUUAAUAGAUGACAUCAAACAUAGAAAAAAAUCUUGGCAAAUGGGCUUUUUAAAUUAAAAAGAAAAACAAACAUAUUGUUUUCCAAAUAUAAGCCAGCUAAGGUAUAGUAGAUUUAUUCAACUCAGAUAUUUUGUUAGAUCAUUUCAGAUAGCUGGAGAGUAUAAUGUCUUUAAUAUAAGGCGGUAAUACACAGUUACAUUAAAUGAAAUAUACUCUGAGCUGAUAUAUAUCUUCUUAAAGAGAAUGCAAGAGUAUGAUAUGCCACCACCUAUACACUUGGGCCAAAUAACAAAGGGGAAUUUGUUCCCCUUUGUUCCCCAAGGAUGAAGAAUCCGCAUUGAUAAGAAUCCUAUAGACCUCUGAGCAGAAAAUCUGAUCUAAGGCCCGGUGUUAAGGAAUAGUUACUGACACUAAGCACUGACAGUAUUAGAAUGUGCCCUCAUGGCCACCUAAUCAUCUGGUGACCUCCAGCUCUAACAUAUUAUGCUGACUC